Molecule: ribosomal RNA, 873 nt
Filed under: uncultured bacterium
Lineage: Bacteria
Description: bacterial SSU rRNA
Rfam family: Bacterial small subunit ribosomal RNA
Source: RNAcentral
GGCGCACGGGUGCGCACCGCGUAUGGAACCUACCUUUUACAGGGGGAUAGCCCAGGGAAACUUGGAUUAAUACCCCGUAGUACCCAUUUCCGGCAUUGGGGAUGGGUUAAAGGCUUCGGCCGGUAGAAGAUGGCCAUGCGUCCCAUUAGCUGGUUGGUAAGGUAACGGCUUACCAAGGCGACGAUGGGUAGGGGCCCUGAGAGGGGGAUCCCCCACACUGGUACUGAGACACGGACCAGACUCCUACGGGAGGCAGCAGUGAGGAAUAUUGGACAAUGGGCGGGAGCCUGAUCCAGCCAUGCCGCGUGCAGGAAGAAUGCCCUAUGGGUAGUAAACUGCUUUUAUACGGGAAGAAAAAGGGAUACGUGUAUCCUACUGACGGUACCGUAAGAAUAAGGACCGGCUAACUCCGUGCCAGCAGCCGCGGUAAUACGGAGGGUCCGAGCGUUAUCCGGAAUUAUUGGGUUUAAAGGGUCCGUAGGCGGGCCGGUAAGUCAGAGGUGAAAGUCUGCAGCUCAACUGUAGAACUGCCUUUGAUACUGCUGGUCUUGAGUUAUGGUGAAGUUGCCGGAAUAUGUAGUGUAGCGGUGAAAUGCAUAGAUAUUACAUAGAACACCGAUUGCGAAGGCAGGUGACUAACCGUAUACUGACGCUGAUGGACGAAAGCGUGGGGAGCGAACAGGAUUAGAUACCCUGGUAGUCCACGCCGUAAACGAUGGAUACUAGCUGUCCGGUACCUUGAGUACUGGGCGGCCAAGCGAAAGUGAUAAGUAUCCCACCUGGGGAGUACGUUCGCAAGAAUGAAACUCAAAGGAAUUGACGGGGCCCGCACAAGCGGUGGAGCAUGUGGUUUAAUUCGAUGAUACGCGAGGA